RNAcentral lists this ribosomal RNA (739 nucleotides) under uncultured rumen archaeon. RNAcentral's name for it is "bacterial SSU rRNA". It matches the Rfam family "Archaeal small subunit ribosomal RNA", at positions 1 to 715 of the family's 1478-position model. The record is from RNAcentral.
CACUAAGCUUGCUCCGUACUUCCUAGUGAUUUCUGGUUGAUCCCGGCAGAGGCUACUGCUAUUGGGAUUCGAUUAAGCCAUGCGAGUUGAAUGAAUUUAGAUUCAUGGCGUACGGCUCAGUAACACGUGGAUAACUUACCCUUAGGACUGGGAUAACUCUGGGAAACUGGGGAUAAUACCGGAUAUUAGGCUAUGGCUGGAAUGCUUUGCCUUUGAAAUGUUUCUUGUAUUCGCCUAAGGAUAGAUCUGCGGCUGAUUAGGUCGUUGGUGGGGUAAUGGCCCACCAGGCCUAUGAUCGGUACGGGUUGUGAGAGCAAGAGCCCGGAGAUGGAACCUGAGACAAGGUUCCAGACCCUACGGGGUGUAGCAGGCGCGAAACCUCCGCAAUGUACGAAAGUGCGACGGGGGGAUCCCAAGUGUUAUUCUUAAUAGGAUAACUUUUCAUUAGUGUAAAAAGCUUUUAGAAUAAGAGCUGGGCAAGACCGGUGCCAGCCGCCGCGGUAACACCGGCAGCUCAAGUGGUAGCUGUUUUUAUUGGGCCUAAAGCGUUCGUAGCCGGUUUUUGAUAGUCUUGGUGAAAAGCUAUGGGCUUACUGUUAGAAUUGCUGAAGAUACUGUCAGACUUUGAGUCGGGAGAGGUAGAGGUACUACCGGGGUAGGGGUGAAAAUCUAUAUCUGGGAGGACCACUGUGGCGAAGGNUCUAACUGGACCGAUCUGACGGUGAGUACGAAAGCCGGG